Molecule: long non-coding RNA, 1064 nt
Filed under: Homo sapiens (human)
Lineage: Eukaryota; Metazoa; Chordata; Mammalia; Primates; Hominidae
Description: non-protein coding PRKAG2-AS1:10
Source: RNAcentral
GUCCCGCUCCCCGUCGCCCCACGCCGCCCUCGUCGCCGCGCCCAGACCCCUGCGGCGGCCGCAGCCGCUUGGGACUCGCUGCGAGCUGGUUUCGGAUCCAUCCCGCCUCCCGGCGUCUCACUGUGUGCCCUACCCUUUGAAACACGCCCCCGCGCCCGCCCUGCCGUAGACCAGGCAGCGAGGAAGCCCACAGUCUCCGGGGGCGCUGCGCGCGAAGUAGCACGUGCUUCUCGAAACACCGCAGCCCCCGGGUCCCGCCCCGCCCGGCGCGCGCACUCGAACCCGCCCAGAGAGCGGUGCGUGGCGCUGGGUGCGAGCAGGGUCUAGCCACCCCCACCCUCACCCCACCCCACCCCACCCUGCUUUUUUCAGGUUCAUCAAGGUUUGCGCAGUGGAUCCGCGAAUGAAGCCAGCCUGGAAGAUCCCCAGUCUCGAGACAGAGCCUGACAGGGGCAGAUGCACUGGAAGGACCCUGUCUGGGUUUAGCAACCAAGCAGCCAUCCUGGCCCCACAGGUGUGGGACUUCUGGGUCUUCUCCUGGCUGGCUUCUUGCUAGAGGAUUUCAAGAGACCCAGCAAGACUGUAUUGUCCCACUGAAUGCUCAAGAUAUUGGUUAGAAGUAGAAAAGGGGAGGGGGUAGUAUUUAGCCUCUGUCCCCACUAAAAAUUAUUCCCAAUUGUCAUUUGUGUCAUCUGUUUAGCUUACAGUUUUAAUCCUUGUCAAAAUGAUCAUUUGCCAGGGUGCAUAAAACACCCUAUUUGAUGAGAACUGGUUUUAAAGGAAAAUGGGGCCAUCAGAAGGAAGCCGGUUGGUGUGAAGAGACGUCUGGGAAGAGCCCCUGGCGAGGGCCCUCAUUCCACUGGGUGACCCAGAAGGAGAAAACCGCGAUGGCGCUUCUCAUUUGAAAUGUUUUCUUUAUGGACAGUGUUUAGCAAUUGUUAUAAUGUGUACUUUUGUUGAUUGAUCUGUAUACAUAUGUAAAAUAAUUUGUUCUCUGAGUUAAUUUUGUUGGAACAAAGACUUUAGUGCUUCCUACAUUAAAACAUUUUACUGUAUUGCCUGCA